ACACACGUCAUACAAUGGCCGGUACAGAGGGUAGCCAACCCGCGAGGGGGGAGCCAAUCCCACAAAGCCGGUCGUAGUCCGGAUCGCAGUCUGCAACUCGACUGCGUGAAGUCGGAAUCGCUAGUAAUCGCGGAUCAGCAUGUCGCGGUGAAUACGUUCCCGGGUCUU
RNAcentral lists this ribosomal RNA (168 nucleotides) under uncultured Allobrachymonas sp. Its description in RNAcentral is "uncultured Brachymonas sp. partial 16S ribosomal RNA". It matches the Rfam family "Bacterial small subunit ribosomal RNA", at positions 1216 to 1382 of the family's 1533-position model. Lineage: Bacteria; Pseudomonadati; Pseudomonadota; Betaproteobacteria; Burkholderiales; Comamonadaceae. The record is from RNAcentral.